UGCCUGAUGUAUGAAAAGGAGAUUGCUUGGAGGCAUCUCCUUUGAUGCUGUUGCCUUUGGAAUACAGCAGCUGCUUGACAAUGAAGAUUCAAAGCCUAAAAGAUACAGCCAGAUGUCAAAUUUAAAAAUAAAAGCUGCACUUGCGACAUGGCUGCUGGGUUGGCUGAUGCUAUGGUUUCCUAAUGGGGAAUAAGGAAUCAGUCCAGCUUAUCACGUGACAUGCCUACUAAUCAUCCACCAGCAACAGGUAAGCUGGCCGGAUUUCACCUUGAGCACCUCUGCAAGAUCAAGGAUCUCACGCCAAGAUGUUAUUGGAGGCUGCUUGCUUUCCCCUGCAGUCUGUUCCUGAAGCAUCACGUCCAACUCAUCUGACCUUUGAAGGUCAAGAUCUUCCAGAAACAAUCUUCAGUUAAAAAAAAAGCAGCUGUGACAAUCGGAGGAAAUCAACCUUUACCAUGAGGUACUCUUGGCGAAAUCUGCAUUUGCAAACCCAGUCUGCAACUUGUUUAAGGUCACCCAAUGAGUUACCAUGAAAAAAAAAUGACAUUGUUGCUGUUCAAACAGAUAUGUCACAGAACGCCACCCCAAGGUGGUGUGAUGGAGUAAGAAGGAAACAAGUGUGAAAAUCUGCUCAGUGCGUGUGACCAUGAAGGCUGCAAGUUAAGACUUUUGACUUUAUCGCACAAGGCUGCUAAAACGCAAUUACGGCAAAAUAAAAACACAAUUACUGCAA
Long non-coding RNA from Anolis carolinensis (green anole), 733 nucleotides. RefSeq lists it as uncharacterized. The record is from RefSeq and is a predicted model, not a curated record. NCBI's taxonomy places the organism in Eukaryota, Metazoa, Chordata, Lepidosauria, Squamata, Anolidae. The transcript is spliced from 3 exons.